Molecule: unclassified non-coding RNA, 181 nt
Filed under: fungal sp.
Lineage: Eukaryota; Fungi
Description: partial internal transcribed spacer region
Rfam family: Eukaryotic small subunit ribosomal RNA (bases 1-46)
Source: RNAcentral
AAGUCGUAACAAGGUUUCCGUAGGUGAACCUGCGGAAGGAUCAUUUCUGGUACUCCAACAAACUUGGGGCGGUUAAACGCUCACAAGUGUUAACAACACACACACUCUUAUGAACAAGAAAUUUUUCAGUGUUUUUAUAUAAAUUAAAACUAAACUUUCAACAACGGAUCUCUAGGCUCUU